Molecule: unclassified non-coding RNA, 350 nt
Filed under: soil metagenome
Description: partial contains 5.8S ribosomal RNA, internal transcribed spacer 2, and large subunit ribosomal RNA
Rfam family: 5.8S ribosomal RNA (bases 1-120)
Source: RNAcentral
GAUGAAGAACGCAGCGAACUGCGAUAAGUAAUGUGAAUUGCAGAAUUCAGUGAAUCAUCGAGUCUUUGAACGCACAUUGCGCCCCCUGGCAUUCCGGGGGGCAUGCCUGUCCGAGCGUCAUUGCUGCCCUUCAAGCCCGGCUUGUGUGUUGGGUCGUCGUCCCCCCCGGGGGACGGGCCCGAAAGGCAACGGCGGCACCGCGUCCGGUCCUCGAGCGUAUGGGGCUUUGUCACCCGCUCGAUUAGGGCCGGCCGGGCGCCAGCCGGCGUCUCCAACCUUCUAUUUUACCAGGUUGACCUCGGAUCAGGUAGGGAUACCCGCUGAACUUAAGCAUAUCAAUAAGCGGAGGA